AGCCCGGUAGUGCAGUGGUCAUCGCGCCCCCCUCACAAGGGUGAGACUCGGGUUCGAAUCCAAACCCGGGUCG
This is a non-coding RNA of Parelaphostrongylus tenuis, 73 nucleotides long. Lineage: Eukaryota; Metazoa; Nematoda; Chromadorea; Rhabditida; Metastrongylidae. The record is from the annotation of a GenBank genome assembly.